CAUUCAUACGGACCUAGGAUCAGUUUAGUGUCCUCAAGUCCUAUCCUCAACCAUUAGGGUGGAGGAACUAAAAACUGACCUCCGAUCAGUGUCUAUGGUAAACACUGACUCACCCCAGUAGGUAGCAGGCUGUACAAAUCACACACUGACUCAUGACUAUACAGUAAACCAAAUAAGAUGGCAUGUAUCUACAACUACGCUCAUUAGAGCUCCACGGCCCAGAUCUAGGAUCAGUCUACCCUCCCUUCAUUAGCCCAGUAGGUAGAGUGCCAGCUCCACAGCCCAGAUCUAGGAUCAGUCUACCCACCCUUCAUUAGCCCAGUAGGUAGAGUGCCAGCUCCACAGCCCAGAUCUAGGAUCAGUCUACCCUCCCUUCAUUAGCCCAGUAGGUAGAGUGCCAGCUCCACAGCCCAGAUCUAGGAUCAGUCUACCCUCCCUUCAUUAGCCCAGUAGGUAGAGUGCCAGCUCCACAGCCCAGAUCUAGGAUCAGUCUACCCUCCCUUCAUUAGCCCAGUAGGUAGAGUGCCAGCUCCACAGCCCAGAUCUAGGAUCAGUCUACCCUCCCUACAUUAGCCCAGUAGGUAGAGUGCCAGCUCCACAGCCCAGAUCUAGGAUCAGUCUACCCUCCCUUCAUUAGCCCAGUAGGUAGAGUGCCAGCUCCACAGCCCAGAUCUAGGAUCAGUCUACCCUCCCUUCAUUAGCCCAGUAGGUAGAGUGCCAGCUCCACAGCCCAGAUCUAGGAUCAGUCUACCCUCCCUACAUUAGCCCAGUAGGUAGAGUGCCAGCUCCACAGCCCAGAUCUAGGAUCAGUCUACCCUCCCUUCAUUAGCCCAGUAGGUAGAGUGCCAGCUCCACAGCCCAGAUCUAGGAUCAGUCUACCCUCCCUUCAUUAGCCCAGUAGGUAGAGUGCCAGCUCCACAGCCCAGAUCUAGGAUCAGUCUA
Molecule: long non-coding RNA, 942 nt
Organism: Oncorhynchus keta (chum salmon)
Lineage: Eukaryota; Metazoa; Chordata; Actinopteri; Salmoniformes; Salmonidae
Exons: 3
Source: RefSeq, a predicted model, not a curated record